RNAcentral lists this ribosomal RNA (492 nucleotides) under uncultured bacterium. Its description in RNAcentral is "partial 16S ribosomal RNA". It matches the Rfam family "Bacterial small subunit ribosomal RNA", at positions 29 to 507 of the family's 1533-position model. The record is from RNAcentral.
AGUGAACGCUGGCGGUAGGCCUAACGCAUGCAAGUCGAACGGCAGCACAGUAAGAGCUUGCUCUUACGGGUGGCGAGUGGCGGACGGGUGAGGAAUACAUCGGAAUCUACUUUUUCGUGGGGGAUAACGUAGGGAAACUUACGCUAAUACCGCAUACGACCUACGGGUGAAAGCAGGGGAUCUUCGGACCUUGCGCGAUUGAAUGAGCCGAUGUCGGAUUAGCUAGUUGGCGGGGUAAAGGCCCACCAAGGCGACGAUCCGUAGCUGGUCUGAGAGGAUGAUCAGCCACACUGGAACUGAGACACGGUCCAGACUCCUACGGGAGGCAGCAGUGGGGAAUAUUGGGCAAAGGGCGCAAGCCUGAUCCAGCCAUACCGCGUGGGUGAAGAAGGCCUUCGGGUUGUAAAGCCCUUUUGUUGGGAAAGAAAAGCAGCAGGUUAAUACCCCGCUGUUCUGGCGGUACCCAAAGAAUAAGCACCGGCUAACUUCGUG